GGCGGUGUGGCGCAAUGGUAGCGUGUGGUCCUCCUAUUCUUCUCGUAAGGGUCUGAGUUCCAAGACUGAGGUUGCAGGUUCGAGUCCUGCCAUCGUCG
RNAcentral lists this transfer RNA (98 nucleotides) under Coniochaeta sp. 2T2.1. It matches the Rfam family "tRNA". From Rfam's summary of the family: Transfer RNA (tRNA) molecules are approximately 80 nucleotides in length. Their secondary structure includes four short double-helical elements and three loops (D, anti-codon, and T loops). The record is from Rfam by way of RNAcentral. Lineage: Eukaryota; Fungi; Ascomycota; Sordariomycetes; Coniochaetales; Coniochaetaceae.